This 460-nucleotide ribosomal RNA is filed under the name uncultured bacterium. RNAcentral describes it as "partial 16S ribosomal RNA". It matches the Rfam family "Bacterial small subunit ribosomal RNA", at positions 338 to 795 of the family's 1533-position model. The record is from RNAcentral.
CCUACGGGAGGCAGCAGUGAGGAAUAUUGGUCAAUGGACGAGAGUCUGAACCAGCCAAGUAGCGUGAAGGAUGACUGCCCUAUGGGUUGUAAACUUCUUUUAUAAAGGAAUAAAACGAGGCACGUGUGCCUUUUUGCAUGUACUUUAUGAAUAAGGAUCGGCUAACUCCGUGCCAGCAGCCGCGGUAAUACGGAGGAUCCGAGCGUUAUCCGGAUUUAUUGGGUUUAAAGGGAGCGUAGAUGGGUUGUUAAGUCAGUUGUGAAAGUUUGCGGCUCAACCGUAAAAUUGCAAUUGAUACUGGAAGUCUUGAGUACAGUUGAGGUAGGCGGAAUGCGUGGUGUAGCGGUGAAAUGCUUAGAUAUCACGAAGAACCCCGAUUGCGAAGGCAGCUUACUAAACUGUGACUGACAUUGAUGCUCGAAAGUGUGGGUAUCAAACAGGAUUAGAUACCCUUGUAGUC